GGAGGCCACUGCUAUUGGGAUUCGAUUAAGCCAUGCGAGUCGAGAGGGUUCGGCCCUCGGCAGACUGCUCAGUAACACGUGGAUAACCUAACCUUAGGUGGAAGAUAAUCUCGGGAAACUGAGAAUAAUACUCCAUAGAUCUAGGCUGCUGGAAUGCAUCUAGAUCAAAAGCUCCGGCGCCUAAGGAUGGGUCUGCGGACUAUCAGGUUGUAGUCAGGGUAAAGACCUGACUAGCCUACGACGGAUAUGGGUUGUGAGAGCAAUAGCCCAGAGACGAUAUCUGAGACACGAUAUCGGGCCCUACGGGGCGCAGCAGGCGCGAAAUCUUCACAAUGUGCGAAAGCACGAUGAGGGAAUCCCAAGUGCUAGCACGUAAGUGUUAGCUGUUUCUUAGUCUAAAAAACUGAGAGAGUAAGGGCUGGGUAAGACGGGUGCCAGCCGCCGCGGUAAUACCUGCAGCUCAAGUGGUGGCCGCUAUUAUUGGGCCUAAAACGUCCGUAGCCUGUUUAGUAAACGCUUGGGUAAAUUGUGUAGCUUAACUAUACGAAUACCGGGUAGACUGCUAAACUUGGGACCGGGAGAGGCUAGAGGUACUCCUAGGGUAGAGGUGAAAUUCUGUAAUCCUAGGGGGACCACCAGUGGCGAAGGCGUCUAGCUAGAACGGGUCUGACGGUGAGGGACGAAGCCCUGGGGCGCGAACCGGAUUAGAUACCCGGGUAGUCCAGGGUGUAAACGCUGCUUGCUUGAUGUUAGUUGGGCUCCGAGCCCAACUAGUGUCGGAGAGAAGUUGUUAAGCAAGCUGCCUGGGAAGUACGGUCGCAAGACUGAAACUNAA
Molecule: ribosomal RNA, 835 nt
Filed under: uncultured euryarchaeote
Lineage: Archaea; Methanobacteriati; Methanobacteriota
Description: bacterial SSU rRNA
Rfam family: Archaeal small subunit ribosomal RNA
Source: RNAcentral